RNAcentral lists this ribosomal RNA (120 nucleotides) under uncultured bacterium. RNAcentral's name for it is "partial 16S ribosomal RNA". It matches the Rfam family "Bacterial small subunit ribosomal RNA", at positions 796 to 918 of the family's 1533-position model. The record is from RNAcentral.
CACACGGUAAACGAUGAAUACUCGCUGUUUGCGAUAUACAGCAAGCGGCCAAGCGAAAGCGUUAAGUAUUCCACCUGGGGAGUACGCCGGCAACGGUGAAACUCAAAGGAAUUGACGGGG